GCCGCUGUCACCCUGAUGGCAUGGGUAGCCGGUCCUUCAAAUCGGCCUUCGCGGGUUCAAUUCCCGCCAGCGGUACCG
This 78-nucleotide transfer RNA is filed under the name Actinomycetota bacterium. RNAcentral's name for it is "Actinobacteria bacterium (soil metagenome) tRNA-OTHER". It matches the Rfam family "tRNA". From Rfam's summary of the family: Transfer RNA (tRNA) molecules are approximately 80 nucleotides in length. Their secondary structure includes four short double-helical elements and three loops (D, anti-codon, and T loops). Lineage: Bacteria; Bacillati; Actinomycetota. The record is from RNAcentral.